This 530-nucleotide ribosomal RNA is filed under the name uncultured bacterium. RNAcentral describes it as "bacterial SSU rRNA". It matches the Rfam family "Bacterial small subunit ribosomal RNA", at positions 355 to 896 of the family's 1533-position model. The record is from RNAcentral.
UGAGGAAUAUUGCGCAAUGGGCGGAAGCCUGAUGCAGCGUCUUCGCGUGGGGGAUGAAGGCCUUCGGGGAGUAAACUCCUUUCGACAGGGACGAAGCGUAAGUGACGGUACCUGUAUAAGAAGCCCCGGCUAACUACGUGCCAGCAGCCGCGGUAAUACGUAGGGUGCGAGCGUUGUCCGGAAUUACUGGGCGUAAAGAGCUCGUAGGCGGUUUGUCGAGUCGUAUGUGAAAUUCCGGGGCUUAACCCCGGGGGUUCAGGCGAUACGGGAAGACUUGAGUGCAGUAGGGGAGACUGGAAUUCCAGGUGUAGCGGUGAAAUGCGCAGAUAUCAGGAGGAACACCGAUGGCGGAGGCAGGUCUCUGGUCAGUAACUGACGCUGAGGAGCGAAAGCAUGGGGAUCGAACAGGAUUAGAUACCCUGGUAGUCCAUGCCGUAAACGGUGGGCGCUAGGUGUAGGGGGCUUUCCCGUCUUCAGUGCCGUAGCUAACGCAUUAAGCGCCCCGCCUGGGGAGUACGGCCGCAAGGCUA